Molecule: ribosomal RNA, 692 nt
Filed under: uncultured Candidatus Tremblayella sp.
Lineage: Bacteria; Pseudomonadati; Pseudomonadota; Betaproteobacteria
Description: bacterial SSU rRNA
Rfam family: Bacterial small subunit ribosomal RNA
Source: RNAcentral
AGUAGCGGUGAAAUGCGUAGAUAUCUGGAGGAAUACCAAAGGCGAAGGCGGUCCCCUGGUCCGAUACUGACACUGAGGUACGAAAGCGUGGGGAGCAAACAGGAUUAGAUACCCUGGUAGUCCACGCCCUAAACGAUGUCGAUUAGCCAUUGGAAGGACCCCUUUUCCUUUCAGUGACGUAGCUAACGCGUUAAAUCGACCGCCUGGGAAGUACGACCGCCAAGGGUUAAAACUCAAAGGAAUUGACGGGGACCUGAACAAGCGGUGAAUGAUGUGGAUUAAUUCGAUGCUACGCGAAGAACCUUACCUACCUUUGACAUGGCCAAAGUUCUACCGAGAGGCGGAAGUACUCGUAAGAGGAUUGGCGCACAGGUGCUGCAUGGUUGUCGUCAGUUCGUGUCGUGAGAUGUUGGGUUCAGUCCCGCAACGAACGCAACCCUUAUCUUUAAUUGCUCCUAUUUUAACAGGCACUUUAAAGAAACUGCCAAUGAUAAGUUGGAGGAAGGUGGGGAUCACGUCAAGUCCGCAUGGCCUUUAUAGGUAGGGCUUCACACGUCAUACAAUGGUUAGAACAAAGAGCUGCAAAUUCGUAAGAAGGAGCCAAUCUCACAAACCUAACCUCAGUUCGAAUUGCGGUCUGCAACUCGAGCGCAUGAAGCCGGAAUCGCUAGUAAUCGUGGAUCAGAAUGCCA